This 468-nucleotide ribosomal RNA is filed under the name uncultured bacterium. Its description in RNAcentral is "partial 16S ribosomal RNA". It matches the Rfam family "Bacterial small subunit ribosomal RNA", at positions 28 to 507 of the family's 1533-position model. The record is from RNAcentral.
GACGAACGCUGGCGGCGUGCUUAACACAUGCAAGUCGAACGGUGAAGCUCCAGCUUGCUGGAGUGGAUCAGUGGCGAACGGGUGAGUAACACGUGAGCAACCUGCCCCUGACUCUGGAAUAAGCGCUGGAAACGGCGUCUAAUACUGGAUACGAGAAGGGUCCGCAUGGGCACUUUCUGGAAAGUUUUUCGGUUGGGGAUGGGCUCGCGGCCUAUCAGCUUGUUGGUGAGGUAAUGGCUCACCAAGGCGACGACGGGUAGCCGGCCUGAGAGGGCGACCGGCCACAAUGGGACUGAGAAACGGCCCAGACUCCUACGGGAGGCAGCAGUGGGGAAUAAUGCACAAUGGGCGAAAGCCUGAUGCAGCGACGCCGCGUGAGGGAUGAAGGCCUUCGGGUUGUAAACCUCUUUCAGCAGGGAAGAAGCGAAAGUGACGGUAACUGCAGAAGAAGCACCGGCUAAAUACGUG